GUGCCAGCAGCCGCGGUAAUACGAAGGGAGCUAGCGUUGUUCGGAAUUACUGGGCGUAAAGGGCGCGUAGGCGGCCCUGUCAGUCAGGCGUGAAAGCCCCGGGCUUAACCUGGGAAAUGCGUUUGAUACUGCGGGGCUUGAGUGUGGGAGAGGUUGGUGGAAUUCCCAGUGUAGAGGUGAAAUUCGUAGAUAUUGGGAAGAACACCGGUGGCGAAGGCGGCCAACUGGACCACAACUGACGCUGAGGCGCGAAAGCGUGGGGAGCAAACAGGAUUAGAAACCCCCGUAGUCC
RNAcentral lists this ribosomal RNA (292 nucleotides) under uncultured bacterium. RNAcentral's name for it is "partial 16S ribosomal RNA". It matches the Rfam family "Bacterial small subunit ribosomal RNA", at positions 505 to 796 of the family's 1533-position model. The record is from RNAcentral.